Molecule: long non-coding RNA, 5688 nt
Filed under: Mus pahari (shrew mouse)
Lineage: Eukaryota; Metazoa; Chordata; Mammalia; Rodentia; Muridae
Description: predicted gene 15581 (MGP_PahariEiJ_G0002891.1)
Source: RNAcentral
CACCAGGCAGGAAAACAUGGAAAAUGAGGAGCUGAUUAUACAGUGAUCUCCCCAGGCAGCAAGGGCGUGUCUCCCCCCCCCCCACCAUGAGGGUGAGUCCUCCUUCCCCUGGUGAGGGUGAGUCCUCCCCCACUUGGUGAGGACUGAAGACUGAAGUCGGAGGAAUACAUAGUAAAUCAGCAAGCAGAAUGGGACCCAGUGCAAAAAGCACAUCUGUCCGAGAUCAUCACACAGAAGUGCAUUGUGUGGGUUCAGAGGGACUCAGCAGCAGCUGAAGGGGGUACUCUGUCUUUGAGAGAAAGAGAUGAAUGAGUAGAGAAGCCAACGUGCUGUGAGAAACGUCCAAGUCUGGAUGUUAGCCGUAACCCACAUCCUAGAGAAGCAUACUGUGUUCUGUGUGCUCUCAGCUAGCAUGGGGUCACCCACAUUCUACCGCAAGAAGAGCCUUGUUUCCCCUUCAGACUUCUUAUCCUGUUUUCCACGAACAUUAAAACCCCAUGCCAGAGCUGGGUAGAUGUGUAUGUGGCCUUGCUGAGGUCACUUUGCCGUGUUGUGUACUGGGAGGAGCAGAGUAAGGCUUCUGUCACAUAGACGUUUACCAGAAAAUUGAAUACAAGACCCUGUGGACACUCACCUGGCUCUCUACUACUGAGCUAUAUUGUAAGGAACAAUUUAUCUUUUUAACGCAGCACACUACACAAAAGAGCCCUCCAAUUAUGAAACAGAGGAAGAAAAGGAGAAAAGCAAAGAGCGUACACCUGAAAGCUGACAAGUCGCUGUUCAUAGAGAGAACGCAUGGAAAACAUAUCCAGCAGAGUCACCAUAUCUAAGAGACACCCUGAAAAUAGUAAUGGAGGUCAGAAAUGACAAGCCUCGGGGACACUACCUCCUGUGGUGUCUUUGUAAACUCAUCACAGAGAUGGCUGCAAGAAUCUUGGAUGCCAGAAAAAAAAAAAAAAAAAAAAGGUUGGAUGAAGACUAUUGGUUCUAAUGAAAUUUAUCUGAGGAAACCUGGGGCAACUCAAGUAUCCAGAAGGGAUUGCUUGCUCUGAGUCACCAGUGUGUCAGCAGAACUGUGACUCACUGUAGCUUAAGGAAGGAAUGACCAUAACCUGGACAUAUUUGAACAAUUUUUGAAACUAUAUAUAUGCAUGUGUGUGUGUGUGUGUGUGUGUGUGUGUGUGUGUGUGUGUGUGUGUGUGUGUGUAUUCAACCUUAUUCUAGCUUAUUCUAGUUGUAAUUGCUACGGACAUUUACUUUAGUAUUUUAGGUUGAUAGCUAUAAGAUUCUGGGAGAGAAUCAAUUAUGAUAAAACAGAUUUCUUAGUUUUAAGGAAUUAAUUGAUUGUCUUGGUUGGAAUUUGUAGUCUUUUGUCCUUACUUAUUCAUAUGAGGAAUAAGCUUUCCGACUGUGAAAAAGACCAAGUUUCUAUACAAGAUGGGCCUUCUAAGUCUUUGGUAGAUGCCUUGAAGAUACCACUCAUGAUCUCUUGACCCUAGGCAUCUUUCACAAUCUCUUAUGAGAUACUAAUUAAUUUGGAUUAUAACCAUAAAAAAAAAACAGGCAUCUGUUUUUAAAUCAUACAAUACUUAAAUUAUAUAAUGCCAUAACUUAUGGGAGAAAUAAAGUAAUCUAAUCUUAAAAGACUGUUUGGUAUUGAUGUACUACAUUUCCUCAACUGAAAUAUUAUGUUCCCUACAGUCCCAUAUAUUAAAGGCUUGGUCCUUGAUAUAGCAUCAUUGAUACAUAGAAGACCUUGUAAGAAGUGGAACAAUUGGAAAGUGUAUGAUUCAUUGGGGGAGUAUCUUUAACAGGAAUAGUGGGCUCUUCCUCCUUCUGUUACAGGUUGUGAACCAAAGGAGUUUUGCUUUGCUUCAUGCAACCACUGCACUGUACUUCCUCACUGCUGACCCAAGAGCAUCAAGGCCAACAUAUCAUGAAUCAAGACCUCCAAACCUAAGUCAGAACAACCCAAUCUCCUCUCCUUACACAUUCCUUAUCUCAAGUAUUUGUUGUAACAAUAGAAAGACAACUACUACAUGGGAGUUCUGGAAGAGUCAACCAUCACUAGUGCAUUCAUUAGACACACAUGCACAUGUACACACAUGCAUCUGCACACAUACACAUAUACAUGCAAAUGCACACAAACAUGCAUCUGCAGAAUACACAUGCACAUACACAUGCACAUACAUCCACACACAGAUGCAUGCACACUCACAUGCAUCUGCGCGCACACACAGGUCCACACACAUGUACGUGCAUGCACACAGACAGAGACACAGCUGUACAUUACUAGCCACGGGAAAAGCUUCCUUGAGGUUUUAAUCGUUUAAUGACCUUGAAAGUCUGUUCAAAAUAAUUCUUGGCUAUUUAUUGCGGGUGUCUCCAAACAACUACUGUGUCCCCCAUGGUUGUUAAUAUUCUUCCCCAAAGACUGCAUUUGUCAGAGAUGAUGAAAUGUGAUCCAGCAUAAAUAGGAUGCGGUAUUUCCAUUGGUUCCUGUGGUCUACCACAGCUUGCUUAAGCUCCCAAGGGGAGACAGAGGUCCUGUUCAUCACACAUGGAAACUUUCUAGACUGUAAGUGUCAAACCAGGAGCAGAGAUGCCUGCAGGUUUCAAAGGAAAACUAAAUAAACAGCCGAUUCUUUUAUCUUCUUUUCUUUUCUAGCACACAUUCAUUCUACCAUAUCCUCAUUUAAAUUUCACUCUCUCACCUUUGUUUGAGCUAAAGCUUGUGCUCACUGUGAGCCAGUAAAAACUACAAGAAGGAAACAUCUGCACGGCUGUGUAACCAAUCCUACAAUUAUCAGGACAAUUAUCCUGACAAUCACGCAGGACAUUUGCAGAAUUUGUUUUCAAGACACAAUGAGUAAUGUACUAACCACAAAUGAACCUAACUUGUAUUUAUGUUAACUUACAUUUUACAUUUUAAAUAUAUGUUAUUCCAUGACAUUUGAUCUGGGAAACAAAUAAAAAAGAUAGAUGUGCCAUCUAGAUUUCAUUUGAAACAAUGGAUAACUAAUAGAAUUGACCCAGGAUCCCAGCAAAUCCCUUACACAAAUUACUGCAUUAGAAAAUACUGUUGAGUCCUGAAGUGUGAGCUGUUCAGGAAACUCCUAUUACCUCGCUAAUAGGAAUUUUAAAUGAUAUGCAAGGUUUCUGGAAAAAGUAAUUUCAGAAACAAAGUCUUCAUGUUUUAAAGAGAAAUUCUAUUUCUAAGAAUACAAUUUAGGUAAAGAACUAGAUCUUUGCACAACGAUUCAGCUACAAAAAGUUCCUAGGAAUUGUGAUCAAAUAAAUUGCCCAAAUUGAUGUUCCUAGUCAGUGUACAGAGACUGUAACACUGUUCACUUUGUUACUCCUAGGCAUUCUCUUGUGGUCUUCUGGGUGCUGGAGAGAUGUCUCAACAGUUAGGAGCACUAGCUACUCUUUCAGAGGACUGAGGUUCAGCUCCCAGCACUGAGGUGAUGGAAAAUGACUGUGUAAAGCCAGCCCAGGGGUUCUGAUAUCCUCUUCUGGCUUCCUUGGGCACCAGGUACAUGUGUUACACAGACAUAUGAGCAUAAAAACACCCAUAAACAUAAAAUAAAAACAAAUCAUUUUUUAUAAAAACAAGUUCUGACUGAUAUGAAAGAAGCCAGGCAGAGGCAUGGGUUUUGUGUUGAGCCUCUAAGAACAGAGAUUACAUCUGUUCAUGUUUCCUUGGCCAGACAACCAUAGGUCCCAUAACAGCUGGGAAAUGCACUUCAUCUUUGUUCUUAGACAACAGAAGAGACAGAGUUUGGUGAGCACAUGACAGUCUGUCCAACGAUGAUCAUGAAUACAUUUCAAACUACCUUUCAAUAGAUCUGCCUAGCAGAAGACUGAGGAGUUAUGAAGCCAAACAAGCAAACAAACAAAAGGAUGGUUAAAUAAAUAAAAAGAUGUUCUGGACACACUGAGGGAAAGCAGUCAUUGAAAGCCAUGGUCUGGGCCCUCAUUUCUAGCUGCUAAAUGACUAUGACUUCUGAAAAUAUAAAAUGCUGUCAUCUCUCAGCUCUCAUACUUCCUGGUUUCCCAAACUUCCCUUCUUUGUAUUUUCCCUCUUGUUUGCUUAAUAACGGAAGCAUGACUUGAAGAAAAAGUUAUACUAUGGAAUAGGAUAGGUUCCAUUUAUCAGCCAGAUUAAUUUCCUUUUUAAAAAAAAAAAUGUGGGAUUGCCCUACUUUUUAUUUUACUAAACAGAUCUGUUGAAAUAACUUAUGAAAUAGACUGAAGCACAUGUGAUGUAGAGAAUGGGCUCUAACAAGUACAAAUGGUACAGUGACAUCAAUUGUUUGUUUGUUUGUUUGUUUUUGUUUUUUAUGGCAUUGCACAGCAGGAUAGAUUAUUCCAAUGGGUAUUUGCUGGAAGCACACUCAGCUGGAUUCCAGUUUAUACCAGUGCCUCUCUGCCUACAAGAGUUCACUGUUUCUUCUGGGUUUCUUGUAAAAUCCUGCAUCUUCUCAGAAACUUCCCAAAGUAUAUAUUAUGAGCAAGGGCUAUUUAUUCCAAAUUUCUAAAUAAAUAUUUAACUUUAACUUUAAUUAUAUUUGACAUUGGGCAGUGUUUCCUUUCCUGGUUAAACUCCGGGAGCUACCUUUAAAACUAAGAAAGUACAUUUUGUCAGACACAGUGGCUGCUUCCCAUACGGGCAUCUUGUCUUCUGCAUCUCAUCACUGACAGAGUCUGCCUCUUGCUGUAUGACCUGAAAAUGUCAGUCUCUGCUUGUUCAAGUAGACCUUAGAGCUGUAGUGCAGGCAUAGGGUCUAGAGGAUGACCAGAGGAGAAACCUGGAGAGCAGGUCUCAGAAAGGUCUUUCUCCUCACUGUGAGUUAGCUGUGGUCUCAGGACCCUAAACAUCCCUGUAUCCAAGCCCUUAGGGGAUGGCUUUGUGGUUUCUUUGAUUUAGAGCUGGCAUCUAUUUUUCUGCCUCCUGACUCUAGGCUGAUUUCCUGAUCUAACUGGAGUAAUAGAGUAUAGCAGAAGUGAUAGUGUUCCCUGUUGAAGCCUUGACAUAAGAAACCUUGAUCUGCGAAGAUUAGAGAGUGAUAGAGCAGGGAGCUUGCCAGGCCCUGUUCCCACCAAAGCAUCCAUUUAACUGGUGAAAAAAAUUAAUAGGAAAAUGAAAUUUAAAAACUAGGUAAAGUUACCUCUCAUUGACCUAAAAGCAUAUAUCAAGUGGAAAAUCUACUAAAUCAGUACAAAUACUAAGACGCUUGUGUCCUGCUGUGAUAGUUUGGAACACUUUGUGAAUACACUGUUCCUCUAAGGCAGAAACAUCUUCAAGGACCACUGUAACUUAAUUGUAUUGAGGGAUUGAGUAACCCUUGGAACUAUCUAGUUCCUGAUUUCUUGUUGCAUCAGAAAAUAAGUGCACAUUGGCUCAAUGAUUCAUGAUUGACAUAUUUUACUUUUGCAAACUCUAACAUUUUUAUUAUUCUCUGUAUAAACUGAUCCAUAGCAAAUACACAAAGAAACCAUGUAGUGUAACAAUUUCUCCUGCUCUAUUUUCUUCUAGAGUGAUGCCCUUUACACAGCUGCUUCUUCACCCUAUCACCAAUUCUUUGUCCAGUCACCCUCUGUUUACAUGUUUUUGCCAUUAUUAUGUAUGAUAUAUCAUGAUUCAUAAUAAUGAAUAGGUAUUUAUAUGCUAUAAUAUUUAUAUAG